RNAcentral lists this ribosomal RNA (479 nucleotides) under uncultured bacterium. RNAcentral's name for it is "SSU rRNA". It matches the Rfam family "Bacterial small subunit ribosomal RNA", at positions 26 to 523 of the family's 1533-position model. The record is from RNAcentral.
AGGACGAACGCUGGCGGCGCGCCUAACACAUGCAAGUCGAACGUGAAGCUCGGAGCUUGCUCCGGGUGGAAAGUGGCGAACGGGUGAGUAACACGUGAGAAACCUGCCCCGAAGACCGGGAUAACACCGGGAAACCGGUGCUAAUACCGGAUGCCCUCACAGGAUCGCAUGGUCCAGUGAGGAAAUGGAUUCCGCUUCGGGAUGGUCUCGCGGCCUAUCAGCUUGUUGGUGGGGUAACGGCCUACCAAGGCUUCGACGGGUAGCUGGUCUGAGAGGAUGUCCAGCCACACUGGGACUGAGACACGGCCCAGACUCCUACGGGAGGCAGCAGUGGGGAAUCUUGCGCAAUGGGCGAAAGCCUGACGCAGCGACGCCGCGUGCGGGAUGAAGGCCUUCGGGUUGUAAACCGCUUUCAGCAGGGACGAAAUUGACGGUACCUGCAGAAGAGCCCGGCAACUACGUGCCAGCAGCCGCGGUAA